GCACUGGCUAACCUCGGACUUUCGAUGUGCUUUUUGCCUUGAUGCUUUGCUUUUCUAUGUGCAUCUGCUUCUGUUAACCUUCCAUCAACCUGGAGGUUUCACCAUCCCAGGGAGGUGUCAGUCUUUCUCAGUCCACCCCGUCAUUAUCCCCAGGAUGGUCUGAAAGGAGGGGUCCCUUUGGGAACUUCUCAGGAGGGAGACCUGGGCCAAGGGCUCGGCCAGCAUCUCCCUGGCAAUUCCAAGGCCCAGGGUGGACUUCUGGAAGGAGCAUGAUUCCCGAGGCCAUGCUACUGAACUGCCAGGGGUAUCCCCACCUCUUCCAGAUCUCCUCGUCCUUUCUGGGGAACUGGGAUCGAGAAAAGCAACCUCCCAGGGUGUUGUGAGUGUUGGUCCGAUUCUGGGAAGCUGGUAAGGCCAGGCAUAGAAGAGGCGGUCAGUAAAUGUUUUUCCCAAACAGGUUGGUCGACCACGUCCCCCUCGCCCCCCUCACCUGUCUCACGCUUCUCGUUUAUUCUCCCACAGCGCUCCGGACAACCCCAGUCCGCAGGGCUCUCGGUGUACCAGGUAGGGGCCAUACUCAGCCAGGGCUCGGGCUGACCUGAGUCAGGACAUGCACGGGGCGUGUGGUCAUUUCCAGAGCGCUUUGUAUGUUCUGUGCCUAUGUUAUUGCUAUGUCAGAUGUCCGUGUGAGCGAGGCCGCCUCGUUUACAAAUGAGAAUGAAUGUGGCCUCCAUUUGAGUAAUUUUAAAAGGUGGAGGGCACAAAAAAAAAAAAAAAAAAAAAAAA
This 786-nucleotide small RNA is filed under the name Bos taurus (domestic cattle). Its description in RNAcentral is "partial gene-trap locus 2 transcript variant E". The stretch from base 155 to 259 matches the Rfam family "Maternally expressed 3 conserved region 2". Lineage: Eukaryota; Metazoa; Chordata; Mammalia; Artiodactyla; Bovidae. The record is from RNAcentral.